UACGUAGGGUGCAAGCGUUGUCCGGAAUUAUUGGGCGUAAAGAGCUUGUAGGCGGUUUGUCGCGUCUGCUGUGAAAUUUCGGGGCUCAACCCCGAACUUGCAGUGGGUACGGGCAGGCUAGAGUGUGGUAGGGGAGACUGGAAUUCCUGGUGUAGCGGUGAAAUGCGCAGAUAUCAGGAGGAACACCGAUGGCGAAGGCAGGUCACUGGGCCACUACUGACGCUGAGAAGCGAAAGCAUGGGGAGCGAACAGG
Molecule: ribosomal RNA, 253 nt
Filed under: uncultured bacterium
Lineage: Bacteria
Description: partial 16S ribosomal RNA
Rfam family: Bacterial small subunit ribosomal RNA
Source: RNAcentral